GGUUUAAUUCGAUGAUACGCGAGGAACCUUACCCGGGCUUGAAUUGCAGGAGAACGAUACAGAGAUGUUGAGGUCCUUCGGGACUCCUGUGAAGGUGCUGCAUGGUUGUCGUCAGCUCGUGCCGUGAGGUGUCGGCUUAAGUGCCAUAACGAGCGCAACCCCUCUCCGUAGUUGCCAUCAGGUGAUGCUGGGCACUCUGCGGACACUGCCGCCGUAAGGUGUGAGGAAGGUGGGGGAUGA
RNAcentral lists this ribosomal RNA (240 nucleotides) under uncultured bacterium. RNAcentral describes it as "partial 16S ribosomal RNA". It matches the Rfam family "Bacterial small subunit ribosomal RNA", at positions 943 to 1182 of the family's 1533-position model. The record is from RNAcentral.